GGAUUUCCUAGUAACGGCGAGCGAACCGGAAGAGCCCAGCUUGAAAAUCGUGGCGCCCCGGCGCCUCGAAUUGUAGUCUGGAGAAGGUCCCUCUGCGGCGCGCCGGACCCAAGUUCCCUGGAAAGGGACGCCAUCGAGGGKGAGAGCCCCGCUGAUUCCGGAGUGCGCCGCUCCACGAGGACCUGUCUGCGAGUCGGGCUGUUUGGGAAUGCAGCCCUAAGCGGGUGGUAAAUUCCAUCCAAGGCUAAAUAUUGGCAAGAGACCGAUAGCGAACAAGUACCGCGAGGGAAAAAUGAAAAGGACUUUGAAAAGAGAGUUAAAAAGUGCUUGAAAUUGCUGGGAGGGAAGCGAAUGGAAGCUGCGGGUGCGCCCCGGUUGGAUGUGGAACGGCUGUCAAAGGCUGGUCCGCCGCUCAACGCGGGGCGCUGGUCAGCGUGGGCCAUCGCGGCGGGACAAGAGCGGGGAUUCGCUUCCCGCCGAUGCCGCUGCGGUGGCCGAGGAACGAAGCGCGCGCUCUUCAUGGGCGUGGGACUUGUCCCAACUGCGCGCUCGGGACGCUGGCGUAUUGAGCUCUUCAUCCGACCCGUCUUGAAACACGGACCAAGGAGUCUAACAUGUAUGCGAGCCGGUGGGCGGCAAACCCAUUGAGGCGCAAGUAACCUGACAGGUGGGACCCCGACCGCAAGGGAGGGAGCACCAUCGACCGACCGUGAUCUUUCUGUGAAGGGUUCGAG
This 734-nucleotide ribosomal RNA is filed under the name Lewinskya iwatsukii. RNAcentral's name for it is "partial 26S ribosomal RNA". It matches the Rfam family "Eukaryotic large subunit ribosomal RNA", at positions 72 to 794 of the family's 3401-position model. Lineage: Eukaryota; Viridiplantae; Streptophyta; Bryopsida; Orthotrichales; Orthotrichaceae. The record is from RNAcentral.